ACGCGAAGAACCUUACCCAGNGCUUGACAUGCAGAAGACAGCCUUAGAAAUAAGGAAUCCCGCAAGGGCUUCUGCACAGGUGCUGCAUGGCUGUCGUCAGCUCGUGCCGUGAGGUGUCUGGUUAAGUCCAGCAACGAGCGCAACCCUUAUCAUUAGUUGCCAGCACGUAAAGGUGGGAACUCUAAUGAGACUGCCUGGGUUAACCAGGAGGAAGGUGAGGAUGACAUCAAGUCCGCAUGGCCCUUAUGUCUGGGGCUACACACGUGCUACAAUGGCCGGUACAGAAGGCAGCGAAGUCACAAGAUGGAGCAAAUCCCCAAAGCCGGCCCCAGUUCAGAUUGUAAUCUGCAACUCGACUACAUGAAGAUGGAAUUGCUAGUAAUGGCAAGUCAGCAUAUUGCCGUGAAUACGUUCCCGGGUCUUGUACACACCG
RNAcentral lists this ribosomal RNA (433 nucleotides) under uncultured bacterium. Its description in RNAcentral is "bacterial SSU rRNA". It matches the Rfam family "Bacterial small subunit ribosomal RNA", at positions 959 to 1392 of the family's 1533-position model. The record is from RNAcentral.